CAAGGACAAACAGUCUGGUGCAUGCCCUGGUGAUCGGCCAUUUCGUGUCAAUCUCGAACCAAGAGGGACUGGCGUCAUUUUGGAAUGGCUGUGUCCCUUUGGAUACACUGUGUGGCAGUGGAAUUCACAGCCACCACACAAAUUUGGCAUGCAGGGGGGUGAUUUUAUGCUGUCCAUGAACAUUCUGCUGUCAGGCAACAAUUACCGAAAAAGUGGCCCUCCUUUUCAAAUUUAUGAACAUGGGGAUGGCUGCAGAGGGCACACUCUUCAGGGUGCAGGAUGCAUACUGCAUAGAGCCCGUGCAGGAAUACUGGGAGAAAACCAGGGCAGAAGUCAUAGAGCGCUUACAUCAAAAGGACCAUGUUGUUGUCUUAGGUGAUGGCAGAAUGGAUUCUCCUGGUAAGUUCUGUAAUGUAAAGUAUGUUGAUUUUGGUUAUGAGUAUUUCCACUGUUGGAGUGCUGAAAAGCUGUACGUACUUUGCAGGUCAUUGUGCCCAGUUUUGCACCUACACCACUGUAGAGUAAGACUCCAGAGAUAUAGUUUAUGUUGUUUCGGUGGACAAACGUGAGACUAGCCAAAAUUCUGUUAUCAUGGAGAGGGAGUGCUUUAUGAGGACCAUGGAUGUGUUUCUCCAGGAACUUCCAGUUAAAGAAGUGGUCACUGAUGCCCACCCCCAGAUCUCU
Alosa sapidissima (American shad) is the source of this 684-nucleotide long non-coding RNA. RefSeq lists it as uncharacterized. The transcript has 3 exons. The record is from RefSeq and is a predicted model, not a curated record. Lineage: Eukaryota; Metazoa; Chordata; Actinopteri; Clupeiformes; Clupeidae.